GGCUGGUGAGCUGAUCUGGGCUAGGACGUCGAACGGGGUUGAUUUUGUCCUGGGUCGGAAGCUGAACAAGGUAAGAGUUUUUUGCCCUUGAAUCUGGGAUAAACCUGGGAAACUGGGUCUCAUACCGGAUAUGACCUUCCAUCGCAAGGUGGUUGGUGGAAAGCUUUUGUGGUUUUGGAUGGACUCGCGGCCUAUCAGCUUGUUGGUGAGGUAAUGGCUUACCAAGGCGACGACGGGUAGCCGGCCUGAGAGGGUGACCGGCCACACUGGGACUGAGACACGGCCCAGACUCCUACGGGAGGCAGCAGUGGGGAAUAUUGCACAAUGGGCGCAAGCCUGAUGCAGCGACGCCGCGUGAGGGAUGACGGCCUUCGGGUUGUAAACCUCUUUCAGUAGGGAAGAAGCCGCAAGGUGACGGUACCUGCAGAAGAAGCGCCGGCUAACUACGUGCCAGCAGCCGCGGUAAUACGUAGGGCGCAAGCGUUAUCCGGGAAUAUUGGGCGUAAAGAGCUCGUAGGCGGUUGUCGCGUCUGCCGUGAAAGUCCGGGGCUCAACUCCGGAUCUGCGGUGGGUACGGGCAGACUAGAGUGAUGUAGGGGAGACUGGAAUUCCUGGUGUAGCGGUGAAAUGCGCAGAUAUCAGGAGGAACACCGAUGGCGAAGGCAGGUCUCUGGGCAUUAACUGACGCUGAGGAGCGAAAGCAUGGGGAGCGAACAGGAUUAGAUACCCUGGUAGUCCAUGCCGUAAACGUUGGGCACUAGGUGUGGGGGACAUUCCACGUUUUCCGCGCCGUAGCUAACGCAUUAAGUGCCCCGCCUGGGGAGUACGGCCGCAAGGCUAAAACUCAAAGGAAUUGACGGGGGCCCGCACAAGCGGCGGAGCAUGCGGAUUAAUUCGAUGCAACGCGAAGAACCUUACCAAGGCUUGACAUGAACCGGACCGCCGCAGAAAUGUGGUUUCCCCUUUGGGGCUGGUUUACAGGUGGUGCAUGGUUGUCGUCAGCUCGUGUCGUGAGAUGUUGGGUUAAGUCCCGCAACGAGCGCAACCCUCGUUCUAUGUUGCCAGCACGUGAUGGUGGGGACUCAUAGGAGACUGCCGGGGUCAACUCGGAGGAAGGUGGGGACGACGUCAAAUCAUCAUGCCCCUUAUGUCUUGGGCUUCACGCAUGCUACAAUGGCCGGUACAAAGGGUUGCGAUACUGUGAGGUGGAGCUAAUCCCAAAAAGCCGGUCUCAGUUCGGAUUGGGGUAUGCAACUCGACCCCAUGAAGUCGGAGUCGCUAGUAAUCGCAGAUCAGCAUUGAUGCG
This 1306-nucleotide ribosomal RNA is filed under the name Arthrobacter pascens. RNAcentral describes it as "bacterial SSU rRNA". It matches the Rfam family "Bacterial small subunit ribosomal RNA", at positions 52 to 1361 of the family's 1533-position model. The record is from RNAcentral. Lineage: Bacteria; Bacillati; Actinomycetota; Actinomycetes; Micrococcales; Micrococcaceae.